CAUUCGAUUUCAACCUUCAACAUUCGAUUUCAACAUUCAACAUUCGAUUUCAACAUUCAACAUUCGAUUUCAACAUUCGAUUUUCAACUUUCAACAUUCGUUUUCAACAUUCAAUAUUCGUUUUCAACAUUCGAUUUUCCACUUUCAACAUUCGUUUUCAACAUUCAACAUUCGUUUUCAAAAUUCGAUUUUCAACUUUCAACAUUC
This 207-nucleotide long non-coding RNA is filed under the name Mytilus galloprovincialis (Mediterranean mussel). The record is from RNAcentral. Lineage: Eukaryota; Metazoa; Mollusca; Bivalvia; Mytilida; Mytilidae.